Molecule: ribosomal RNA, 875 nt
Filed under: Cardinium endosymbiont of Brevipalpus phoenicis
Lineage: Bacteria; Pseudomonadati; Bacteroidota; Cytophagia; Cytophagales; Amoebophilaceae
Description: bacterial SSU rRNA
Rfam family: Bacterial small subunit ribosomal RNA
Source: RNAcentral
GUCCCGGCGCGGGGCCGCGAGAUUCCAUACAAUCUUGCUAGCGCAUGCCCUUUAGAUAAAAGCUCCGGCGGUGUAAAAUGAGCGUGCGUCCUAUUAGCUAGUUGGAGAGGUAAUGGCUCACCAAGGCUACGAUGGGUAGGGGUUCUUAGUGGAAGGUCCCCCACACUGGCACUGAGAUACGGGCCAGACUCCUACGGGAGGCAGCAGUAGGGAAUAUUGGUCAAUGGGCGCAAGCCUGAACCAGCCAUGCCGCGUGCAGGAUGAAGGCUCUCUGAGUUGUAAACUGCUUUUGUACAGGAGCAAAAAAGCCCCUGCGGGGGCUCUUGAGAGUACUGUAAGAAUAAGCACCGGCUAAUUCCGUGCCAGCAGCCGCGGUAAUACGGAAGGUGCAAGCGUUAUCCGGUUUUAUUGGGUUUAAAGGGUGCGUAGGCGGCUUAUUAAGUCAGUUGUGAAAUCCUAGUGCUUAACGCUAGAACUGCGAUUGAUACUAUUAGGCUUGAGUUAAGAAGAGGUAGGCAGAAUUUAUGGUGUAGUAGUGAAGUGCUUAGAUAUCAUAAGGAAUACCAAUAGCGUAGGCAGCUUACUGGUCUUUAACUGACGCUGAGGCACGAAAGCGUGGGGAGCAAACAGGAUUAGAUACCCUGGUAGUCCACGCCGUAAACGAUGGUCACUCGAUAUACAUGAAACCUCGUGUGUGUCUAAGCGAAAGCGUUAAGUGAUCCACCUGGGGAGUAUACUCGCAAGUGUGAAACUCAAAGGAAUUGACGGGGGUCCGCACAAGCGGUGGGGUAUGUGGUUUAAUUCGAUAAUACGCGAGGGACCUUAAGGGGGCUAGAAUGUAUUUGACACCUGAAUCCCGCGGCCAGGCGGCCGGA